Molecule: small nucleolar RNA, 133 nt
Filed under: Pterocles gutturalis (yellow-throated sandgrouse)
Lineage: Eukaryota; Metazoa; Chordata; Aves; Pterocliformes; Pteroclidae
Source: RNAcentral
CCAAAGUGUUGAGUUCAGUUCAGGGUGUUGCCCCUGUUCUGGUAAUUCAGCUUUGGAACAGUGAGUGACUGAGAAGUGCACUAUGGUGACUGAAAGUUUGUUUUAUGCCACCUGUGUUUCUCAGCCUACAAAC